Molecule: ribosomal RNA, 439 nt
Filed under: uncultured bacterium
Lineage: Bacteria
Description: bacterial SSU rRNA
Rfam family: Bacterial small subunit ribosomal RNA
Source: RNAcentral
AGAGUUUGAUCCUGGCUCAGAGCGAACGCUGGCGGCAGGCCUAACACAUGCAAGUCGAGCGCCGUAGCAAUACGGAGCGGCAGACGGGAGAGUAACACGUGGGAACGUACCCUUCAGCUCGGAACAACACAGGGAAACUUGUGCUAAUACCGGAUAAGCCCUUACGGGGAAAGAUUUAUCGCCGAAAGAUUGGCCCGCGUCUGAUUAGCUAGUUGGUGAGGUAACGGCUCACCAAGGCGACGAUCAGUAGCUGGUCUGAGAGGAUGAUCAGCCACAUUGGGACUGAGACACGGCCCAAACUCCUACGGGAGGCAGCAGUGGGGAAUAUUGGACAAUGGGCGCAAGCCUGAUCCAGCCAUGCCGCGUGAGUGAUGAAGGCCCUAGGGUUGUAAAGCUCUUUUGUGCGGGAAGAUAAUGACGGUACCGCAAGAAUAAGCCC